AUCUCGGAAGCUAAGCAGGGUCAGGCCUGGUUAGCACUUGGAUGGAAGAAAACUGUCUAUUCAUAUGUUCUGUCCACUUUUUAUUCAAUUGUUCCUUUUCUUUUUGUUUAACUGUAUGAGGUCUUCAUAGAUGUUUGA
This 138-nucleotide microRNA precursor is filed under the name Erinaceus europaeus (western European hedgehog). RNAcentral describes it as "miRNA (ENSEEUG00000023831.1)". The record is from RNAcentral. Lineage: Eukaryota; Metazoa; Chordata; Mammalia; Eulipotyphla; Erinaceidae.